Non-coding RNA from Acanthosepion pharaonis, 108 nucleotides. The record is from the annotation of a GenBank genome assembly. Lineage: Eukaryota; Metazoa; Mollusca; Cephalopoda; Sepiida; Sepiidae.
UUACGGCCACAUCACAUUGAAACGCUGUUCCCGUACGAGCACCGAAGUUAAGCAAUGGUGAGAAUGGUCAGUACCUAGAUGGGUGACCACUUGGGAAUACCAGGUGCU